AGCAGCGUGGCUCAGUGGAAAGAGCCCGGGCUUGGGAGCCAGAGGUCAUGGGUUCGAAUCCCGGCUCUGCCA
Molecule: non-coding RNA, 72 nt
Organism: Ornithorhynchus anatinus (platypus)
Lineage: Eukaryota; Metazoa; Chordata; Mammalia; Monotremata; Ornithorhynchidae
Source: Rfam